This 492-nucleotide ribosomal RNA is filed under the name uncultured bacterium. Its description in RNAcentral is "partial 16S ribosomal RNA". It matches the Rfam family "Bacterial small subunit ribosomal RNA", at positions 29 to 507 of the family's 1533-position model. The record is from RNAcentral.
AGUGAACGCUGGCGGUAGGCCUAACACAUACAAGUCGAACGGCAGCACAGUAAGAGCUUGCUCUUACGGGUGGCGAGUGGCGGACGGGUGAGGAAUACAUCGGAAUCUACUUUUUCGUGGGGGAUAACGUAGGGAAACUUACGCUAAUACCGCAUACGACCUACGGGUGAAAGCAGGGGAUCUUCGGACCUUGCGCGAUUGAAUGAGCCGAUGUCGGAUUAGCUAGUUGGCGGGGUAAAGGCCCACCAAGGCGACGAUCCGUAGCUGGUCUGAGAGGAUGAUAAGCCACACUGGAACUGAGACACGAUCCAGACUCCUACGGGAGGCAGCAGUGGGGAAUAUUGGACAAUGGGCGCAAGCCUGAUCCAGCCAUACCGCGUGGGUGAAGAAGGCCUUCGGGUUGUAAAGCCCUUUUGUUGGGAAAGAAAAGCAGCAGGUUAAUACCCCGCUGUUCUGACGGUACCCAAAGAAUAAGCACCGGCUAACUUCGUG